UGGUGAUUAACUGGGAUGUAUUGGAAAGUGUGGGACCUGAACAUGGUGUAGAUGAUACAAAAUAAAGGGUGGAUAUUGUCCUGAUUUUGGCUGGGAUAGAAUUAGUUUUCCUCCUGGGAGAUGGUAUAGUGCAGUGUUUUUGAUUUAGGAAGAGAAUAGUGCUGAUAACACACUGAUGUUUUAGUUGUUGCAGAGCAGUGCUUACCCUAUGUCAAUGACUUUUUAACUUCUUACACUUUCCUGAGGGUGCACAAAAAGGUGGGAAAGGACAGAACCAAGACAUCUGACCCGAACUGGCCAGACCAAUAUUCCAUACCAGAUGACACCAUGCUGAACAAUAAAACUGAUUGGAGUUGGCUGGAGGAUGCUGAAGGGAAGGCUGCUGCUUGGGGUCUGGCUAGGCAUCGGUCAGCAGGUGGUGCAAAAUGUUACAUCUAUAUAAGAAGAGGUAUGAAUUCAGAUGCUGGAAUAAAGGGGGAGGUCCAUGUAUCUAGUCAUUCUGCGUACCAUGAAUUGUGUAAAUUGUGUAACUCCUACAGCAGUUGUGUGAGGUCUGGAAUUGUUAAACAAAUUAUUUUCAUUUUCUUGAGUCCUAGUUAAAUUUAAAGUUUAAUGGAAUUUUUCAGUAAUAAAAUAGAACCUGAUUAAUGACCCAUCAACAUAUUCUUCCUAUAUUUUAUUUAAAAUAUCUAAAAUAAAAUAAUAAAUUAAUAAUAAUAAAAUAAUAAAAUAAAAUAAAAUAUUUUAUUUAAAAUAUCUAAAAAAAAAAAAAAAAGGAAAGGAAAGGAAAGGAAAAAGGUAAAGGCAUGCCUGAUCCAUACUGACCUAUCUGUUUCUUCCUCAAAAUAUUUUCUGGGAAAUGAUAUUAAUUGAAACUAUAUUUUAUUUAUUUAUUUUCUGAGAGUUUAACUGAUUCAGGAGAUUCCAAUGCUAUUUUUUAAUUUUACAGACUGCAGAAAUCUUAG
This 965-nucleotide long non-coding RNA is filed under the name Cairina moschata (Muscovy duck). RNAcentral describes it as "domestica (muscovy Duck (domestic type)) lncRNA (ENSCMMG00000015069.1)". The record is from RNAcentral. Lineage: Eukaryota; Metazoa; Chordata; Aves; Anseriformes; Anatidae.